AGAGUUUGAUCAUGGCUCAGAACGAACGCUUGCGGCGUGCUUAACACAUGCAAGUCGAACGAGAAAGGGACUUCGGUCCUGAGUAAAGUGGCGCACGGGUGAGUAACGCGUAGGUAAUCUACCCCUGUGUUAGGGACAACAUCGGGAAACUGGUGCUAAUACCGGAUACGUUUCACGGAUUGCGAAAUAAGUGAAGGAAAGAUGGCGACCCUUCGGGGGCUAUUGCACGGGGAUGAGCCUGCGUACCAUUAGCUAGUUGGCAGGGUAAGAGCCUACCAAGGCGACGAUGGUUAGCGGGUCUGAGAGGAUGAUCCGCCACACUGGAACUGAAACACGGUCCAGACUCCUACGGGAGGCAGCAGUGAGGAAUUUUGCACAAUGGGGGAAACCCUGAUGCAGCGACGCCGCGUGAGUGACGAAGGUCUUCGGAUCGUAAAGCUCUGUCAGUAGGGAAGAAAUGCGCGAUGGCUAAUAUCCAUGGUGCUUGACGGUACCUACAAAGGAAGCACCGGCUAACUCCGUGCCAGCAGCCGCGGUAAUACGGAGGGUGCGAGCGUUGUUCGGAUUUACUGGGCGUAAAGGGCGCGUAGGCGGCCUAUCAAGUCAGGUGUGAAAGCCCACGGCUCAACCGUGGAAGUGCAUCUGAAACUGGCAGGCUUGAGUACUGGAGGGGAGUGUGGAAUUCCCGGUGUAGAGGUGAAAUUCGUAGAUAUCGGGAGGAAUACCGGUGGCGAAAGGCGACACUCUGGACAGAUACUGACGCUGAGGCGCGAAAGCGUGGGGAGCAAACGGGAUUAGAUACCCUGGUAGUCCACAGCUGUAUACGAUGUGCACUAGGUGUGGGGGGGAUGUUUAUCCUUUUUGGUGC
Molecule: ribosomal RNA, 868 nt
Filed under: uncultured bacterium
Lineage: Bacteria
Description: bacterial SSU rRNA
Rfam family: Bacterial small subunit ribosomal RNA
Source: RNAcentral